Molecule: long non-coding RNA, 2557 nt
Organism: Triticum aestivum (bread wheat)
Lineage: Eukaryota; Viridiplantae; Streptophyta; Magnoliopsida; Poales; Poaceae
Exons: 2
Source: RefSeq, a predicted model, not a curated record
UCGGUCUCUCCUCUAAUUCCUUCCAUAAAUAUCGGUCGGAUCCUAUAAAGCUGGCGAGUUGCAGACGGAGCUAGCGGGCGAGGAGGCCGGUCCGCCACCUGAGGUAUCACCGGCGGCCAGAGUCGCUGCCCUCAGCAGGCUGACGAGUCGCGCCCCAAAUUCCCCCGAGCCACGCCUACCGCGGUCAUCAUCCUCGAGGCCUCCGUUUCUAGACGAGGAGGAGGAUCCCAUUGGGUGCUUCAUCCCUCUCACCCUACCGUCUCCGCCACCUAUCGGAUCUCUGGCGGCCGGAGUCGCUGUUCUCAGCUGGCUGAUGAAUUAGCCCCAAGCUCCCCCGAGCCACACCUGUCGCGGUUAGUCGUCCUCGAACCAUCGGUUCCCAGCAACUGAUUUAGAGGCUCCACCCCCGCCGGCCCUGCUCCUACCCCGAGGAUGUACUCCUCCGUGCCGAACUCCACCCAUCUCUUCCUCUUCCUCAGCCACGGACAUACAUACAUGGAUACACCACGAGUCCACGAACCCCUCCAAUUCGAGGCGGCCACUACGCAGAGGACGUCGAAGCACACGGGAGAACCUCCAUCAUGCUCCCCUUCAGACGUUUAUCCGGAAGCAACCCAGCUCUUCCCCCUGACACUGUAGCCCGACCAGCGGUGGCUCGGUGACGACGAAGACUCCUUGUUCGUCAUCGUGGCACCAGCAGGUCAGCGAGCACGCAAGCCCUGCGUGGACGAUCUCAGCGGCAGGUCCGGUGCCUCCUUUUCCCCCUUUCUCUGUUCCACCUCGCCGGGCCUCUCCUCUGCCCGCAUCCGGCCGCCCUCCUCCUGCACGCCCGCGCCUCCUUUCUCUCGGCUCUGCUGCAAAUGGCAGCAGCAGCAGUACAUCCUUCUGUGCGCCACCUCGCUCCGACCACCGCUGCUUGUUGCUGCGUCCGGCUGGCCUCCUCACAGCCACCACCGACCACGGCCCCCCUGCUGCCUUCACCACUCUGAUCCUAUUUUUUCUCUUGUCCCCGCUGCAUCUUGAGGAACAACGGGGAUUGCAGCUUUGUGCGAUGCAUUUGCACAUCACAUGUUUGUUGAAAUAAGCUAAUAGUGACAUCUUCUUUCCAGUUUACCUGAACUUUUUUCUGUGUUGUCAGGGGAGGAGAUGGUUUAUUUAAGUUUCUUUCUCAAUUCCUAAUUAUAUCAGGUUCAGAAUUAAUAAGUUGUAAGAACUAUUUGUGCGUUUGGAAGAGAAGAGCUAUGGUCACUUCAGAUAAACUGCUUUGGCAAAUUCUUUUGGCAGCAUAAUUUCCAUGCAAUAUGUGCUUAGCUACUUGGGUAUGUUUGGUUCAUGAAUACUAGGACCAAGAAGGAGCAGAUGAUACUUUAUUAUAUAUACGAUGCGAGUUAAUGAUGAUUUCCUAUACUUAAAUUAUGUAGAGAUGCGAAGGUAAAUAUUGCUAUUAUCUUUUAUGGUGCUACUGGCAUCGCAUUGCUCAACUUACUGAUACAUAAAUUAGUUUCCUGUAGUGUAAUACUUGAGUCCUUGCAUCUUCAGUUAGUUCUCAACACGGAAUCCACUAAAUCCAUUCAAGAGUUAAAGAUCCUUUUAUGUUUAUAGAAUUUUAGUGGAAUUUCUUGUCUGCUUGGUUGCUAGAUAUUCUUUUACUUUUUCCAUGGUAUAUAAUAAGAAAUAAUCUUUUUUAUUAGCUUAUGAUCAUGGCUCAUGUAUAUUUACAAAGUACUUUCACUGAGUUUUCCUUGUCAAUGGUCCGAUAUAUUUACUUUGUAUAAGGUGCGCCGAAGGGUCGUUUGAAGGACCGAGGGGCCAACUAGAGCUCAUGUAUGGUAGUUGGGGCAUGUUUUUUUUUCUCAUGACGCGUCUAUUGAAUUUUCAUUAUUCUCCCAGUUUGAUUAAUGUUUUUUGGUUGCUUAUUAGUACCACAUAUUUUGUGUUGCAGUUAUAUUUCUUGUCGUUGAUCUGACAACGUUAUACAUUUUAAUGCAGUUGCUCCAUUCACUAGGUUUUACUGAUUUAGCCGGGACAUGCCCAACUAUUGCCUUUGGAAUGGAUGAUGAAAAUCUUACCAAAGAGCAUCAGAGGUGCAGGCGGUAGCUUGGUCGAGGUGUGCACAUGUAGUGGACUAGGAUGGGAAGGAAGGAGGCCGGCGCCAAGGAGGAAGAGCAUCGGGGACGAAGGAGAACUACAACGUGGUGAAGGCAAGGGCUGGACUGGUCGGCGCUGCAUCGUGGGGAAGACAAAGGGGUGGAGUGGCCGGUGCUGCGUGAGGGUAGAAGAUGAUGGGGAAUUCUAGAGAUGGGAAACACUCUAUUGCUUCACUGUUACUACUUGCUGCUGGUGUCAAUUUAUUUGAUACUACUGAUCUCUACGGAGAAAUUGGGGAUGCAAGUUUAUCACAUGCACGCUCAUGUACAUCUGCUUAUGUCUUACCAAAAUUUUGCUUGCUCUAUGUUUUGCGAGCUCAGGCCAGACAUCACACUGAGUUUUUUUUUGUUUUUAAAUUCACUUUACUUAGUAUAUGAACUAAUCCUGAAUGGAAAAAAGUUUGUGCUGA